AGCGAACGCUGGCGGCAGGCCUAACACAUGCAAGUCGAACGAACCUUUCGGGGAUAGUGGCGGACUGGUGAGUAGCACGUGGGAACGUGCCUUUAGGUUGGGAAUAGCUCAGUGAAACUUGUUCUCAUACCGAAUGUGCCCUUCGUGGGGCAGAUUAUUCGCCUUUCGAGCGGCCCGCGUCUGAUUAGCUAGUUGGUUGAGUUAAUGGCUCACCAAGGCGACGAUCAGUAGCUGGUCUGCGAGGAUGAUCGGCCACAUUGGGACUGAGACACGGUCCAAACUCCUACGGGAGGCAGCAGUGGGGAAUCUUGCGCAAUGGGCGAAAGCAUGACGCAGCCAUGGCGGGUGAAUGAUGAAGGUCUUAGGAUUGUAAAAAUCUUUCACCGGGGACGAUAAUGACGGUACCCGGAGAAGAAGCCCCGGCUAACUUCGUG
Molecule: ribosomal RNA, 434 nt
Filed under: uncultured bacterium
Lineage: Bacteria
Description: partial 16S ribosomal RNA
Rfam family: Bacterial small subunit ribosomal RNA
Source: RNAcentral